UACGUAGGGGGCGAGCGUUGUCCGGAUUCAUUGGGCGUAAAGCGCGCGCAGGCGGCUAGGCAAGUCGGCCGUGAAAUCUCCGGGCUCAACUCGGAGGGGUCGGGCGAGACUGCGUAGCUAGAGGCAGGUAGAGGGCCGUGGAAUUCCGGGUGUAGUGGUGGAAUGCGUAGAGCUCCGGAGGAACACAAGUGGCGAAGGCGGCGGCCUGGGCCUGACCUGACGCUGAGGCGCGAAAGCGUGGGGAGCGAGCCGG
RNAcentral lists this ribosomal RNA (253 nucleotides) under uncultured bacterium. RNAcentral describes it as "partial 16S ribosomal RNA". It matches the Rfam family "Bacterial small subunit ribosomal RNA", at positions 524 to 776 of the family's 1533-position model. The record is from RNAcentral.